Molecule: long non-coding RNA, 1696 nt
Organism: Papaver somniferum (opium poppy)
Lineage: Eukaryota; Viridiplantae; Streptophyta; Magnoliopsida; Ranunculales; Papaveraceae
Exons: 2
Source: RefSeq, a predicted model, not a curated record
UAUUCUUCUUUCUUAUUUUUCUUCUUCUCCUCUCUCGUUCUUCUUCUGUUUUCUUCUCCGGCGAUUCUGAGAAUCGAUUUGAGGGAAUCGAUCGAUGAUGUUGUUAGUAUAUAAUCAAAGAAGGUUUGGUGGUGGUGUUCAUGUUGGUUGAUCAUGAUAAGAAGAAGAGAUGACGAUCUGUAGAGAAACCAGAUAGUUCAAGCCAUAGAAGAAUUGAUUAAUUGAAGGAGAUUUGAUUAGUUGGUGAUGAAUAACAAAAGGGGUAGUGUUUAAUUGAAGUUUUGAAUAUGUUUCGAUGAUGAAUUGUACGUUAGGAUUUCAUGAGGAGAGCUCUGAGAAGAUUUAUAAAGUGAAUAUGAUGUUAUAGAUAGAUGAUUAAAAGUGGGUUUAGUCGAUUGAGAAAAGGUGUGAAGUUAAUUAGAUGUUGGGGAUGUUCUGAGGAAGAAUUGGAGAAUUAGGGUUUGUUAUUGAAAUGAAGAUAUCCAGAAAAGGUUGAAGAAUCAGUUGAGAUAUUGAUGGGUUAUGGCGACAGUGUUAACUGGAGUGUUGAGUCAACCCAGAUUGAUCAACAGAAGAUGAAUUAGGGGUUCAGAAGAAUUGUUCGAUGAAUCAACAAUUCAGAAGGUGUUAUUGCUUGGGUAAGCUUUUAUUUUCUUAACCUUGAUAUUUGGAGUUGAAUUGCUAAGAUUCAUUUGAGUUUAUAUGUUUGUGUUUUAACUUAGGUUGAGGUGACCAAACAAUGAAACUGCGGAGGUAGUUAAAAGUGGUUUUGAUAGUGAAAGGAUUGUUGAGUUUGAGCUAUUGUUUAAGAUGAUUUGUGUUUGAUGGAAAUUGCGGAUGGAGCUAUGUCUGUGGUAUAAUUGAAUUGAUAGUGGUUGUGUAAAUUAAUUGUGCAAACUGAAGUAAGAAGUGACUAAAUAUGAGAUUCGCAGGAAUCAAAGAGGUCUUGUGUUAUGUGAAUUAGUUUGAUGUUGAACUGUUAUUACUCAGACUAGCAGAGAUUGAAGAAAAUGUAAUUAUAGAAGGAUGUUAACUUGAGCUGUAAUUGUAGGUGGUAUGAGGAUUGAAUUAAAAUUCUAUAUAUGGUGAAUGAUGUGUAUUGCUAGAGUUGUAACUGUAAUACAGAAGUAGAUGUGGUGAUGUUGAGUUGGUUAUGGUGUCUGUGGAGUUGUAAAAUGAAUUAGCUGUUAUGGUGAUGAAAGAGGCUGAAGUCUAAUUGAACUGGUAAUGCUGAGAUUAGGUUGUGUAUUUGAGUUGGUAAUAUGAAGAAAUGUUAGAGUGGUAAAUAUUUGGUUCCAGUUAGGAGUAGAAUCCGUGGAGGCUUGCUGUUACAGGUAAGCUGAGUUUUCGAUAGUGAUUAAAUUAUGAAGUAUAUUUCGAAAGAAUAAUUGAAUUGCUUUUGAGUUGUUAUGAAGAUGAUGUUAUGAGACUGAGUUUUAGGAAUGACGAGUUGAUGAGUGAAUAUGGAGUUGAAUCUCUCUUGUAAAAGCUUAGAGCUGCAACUGCAGUUUCAGAAACAGUUCAGAGUUCCGCAGCGAAAGCUUCGAGGAGUUGACUUCGUUAGUUAGUUGGUUAACUUUUGCUCUAUUUAUUAUAUUGCAUAUUGUACUUGUAAACCAAAUGACUAUUGUAUAUGUAUCAUUUGAGAGGAUUUCUUGUAUAUAUAUAUUUCUGAGCGGGGCUAGUUUUGGGUUAA